GACGAACGCUGGCGGCGUGCUUAACACAUGCAAGUCGAACGGACAGGCCCUGCUUUUGUGGGUUGCUCGAUUGGCGAACGGGUGAGUUUCCCGUGAGUAACCCGCCCUUUCCUUUGUGAUAUCUUCUGGACACUCGGGCUAAUACCGUAUAUGAGCUCCUGCUGCAUUGUGGUGGUUGGUCAUUUUCGGCGGUUGGGGAUGGACUCGCGGCUUAUCAGCUUGUUGGUGUGGUAGUGGCUUACCAAGGCUUUGACGGGUAGCCGGCCUGAGAGGGUGACCGGACAAAAGAGGACGGAGAGACGGAACAGACGGGAACGGGAGGCAGCAGUGGGGAAUAGUGCACAAUGGGCGGAAGCAUGAUGGAGCAAAGCCGCGAGCGGGAAGACGGCCAACGGGUUGUAAACCGAGUUAGCCUGGGACGAAGCGAGAGUGACGGUAAUGGGUAAAGAAGCAACGGCUAACUACGUG
This 468-nucleotide ribosomal RNA is filed under the name uncultured bacterium. Its description in RNAcentral is "partial 16S ribosomal RNA". It matches the Rfam family "Bacterial small subunit ribosomal RNA", at positions 28 to 507 of the family's 1533-position model. The record is from RNAcentral.